Molecule: unclassified non-coding RNA, 346 nt
Filed under: soil metagenome
Description: partial contains 5.8S ribosomal RNA, internal transcribed spacer 2, and large subunit ribosomal RNA
Rfam family: 5.8S ribosomal RNA (bases 1-120)
Source: RNAcentral
GAUGAAGAACGUAGCGAAAUGCGAUAAGUAAUGUGAAUUGCAGAAUUCAGUGAAUCAUCGAAUCUUUGAACGCACAUUGCGCCCGCCAGUAUUCUGGCGGGCAUGCCUGUCUGAGCGUCAUUUCAACCCUCAUGCCCCUAGGGCGUGGUGUUGGGGAUCGGCCAAAGCCCGCGAGGGACGGCCGGCCCCUAAAUCUAGUGGCGGACCCGUCGUGGCCUCCUCUGCGAAGUAGUGAUAUUCCGCAUCGGAGAGCGACGAGCCCCUGCCGUUAAACCCCCAACUUUCCAAGGUUGACCUCAGAUCAGGUAGGAAUACCCGCUGAACUUAAGCAUAUCAAAGCGGAGGA